This 490-nucleotide ribosomal RNA is filed under the name uncultured bacterium. RNAcentral's name for it is "partial 16S ribosomal RNA". It matches the Rfam family "Bacterial small subunit ribosomal RNA", at positions 30 to 507 of the family's 1533-position model. The record is from RNAcentral.
AUUGAACGCUGGCGGCAGGCCUAACACAUGCUAGUCGAACGGUAACAGGAAGCAGCUUGCUGCUUCGCUGACGAGUGGCGGACGGGUGAGUAAUGUCUGGGAAGCUGCCUGAUGGAGGGGGAUAACUACUGGAAACGGUAGCUAAUACCGCAUAAUGUCGCAAGACCAAAGAGGGGGACCUUCGGGCCUCUUGCCAUCGGAUGUGCCCAGAUGGGAUUAGCUUGUUGGUGGGGUAACGGCUCACCAAGGCGACGAUCCCUAGCUGGUCUGAGAGGAUGACCAGCCACACCGGAACUGAGACACGGUCCAGACUCCUACGGGAGGCAGCAGUGGGGAAUAUUGCACAAUGGGCGCAAGCCUGAUGCGGCCAUGCCGCGUGUAUGAAGAAGGCCUUCGGGUUGUAAAGUACUUUCAGCGGGGAGGAAGGGAGUAAAGUUAAUACCUUUGCUCAUUGACGUUACCCGCAGAAGAAGCACCGGCUAACUCCGUG